This 497-nucleotide ribosomal RNA is filed under the name uncultured bacterium. Its description in RNAcentral is "partial 16S ribosomal RNA". It matches the Rfam family "Bacterial small subunit ribosomal RNA", at positions 28 to 507 of the family's 1533-position model. The record is from RNAcentral.
GAUGAACGCUGGCGGCGUGCCUAAUACAUGCAAGUCGAGCGAACAGACGAGGAGCUUGCUCCUCUGACGUUAGCGGCGGACGGGUGAGUAACACGUGGAUAACCUACCUAUAAGACUGGGAUAACUUCGGGAAACCGGAGCUAAUACCGGAUAAUAUAUUGAACCGCAUGGUUCAAUAGUGAAAGACGGUUUUGCUGUCACUUAUAGAUGGAUCCGCGCCGCAUUAGCUAGUUGGUAAGGUAACGGCUUACCAAGGCAACGAUGCGUAGCCGACCUGAGAGGGUGAUCGGCCACACUGGAACUGAGACACGGUCCAGACUCCUACGGGAGGCAGCAGUAGGGAAUCUUCCGCAAUGGGCGAAAGCCUGACGGAGCAACGCCGCGUGAGGGAUGAAGGUCUUCGGAUCGUAAAACUCUGUUAUUAGGGAAGAACAAAUGUGUAAGUAACUAUGCACGUCUUGACGGUACCUAAGCAGAAAGCCACGGCUAACUACGUG